ACUAAAUUAUCUUUAAAUCACACACAUUUCGACACAUGUUCCGGGGUGCUUCAACUUCAUUAACUUAGGUUAGUAGGUUAGGGGUCGGAUGCAUGGGGAAUGUGGAGGCCUAAC
This 114-nucleotide small RNA is filed under the name Vibrio genomosp. F6 str. FF-238. Its description in RNAcentral is "t44 RNA". It matches the Rfam family "t44 RNA". Rfam says of the family: This family consists of a number of bacterial RNA genes of between 135 and 170 bases in length. The t44 gene is found between the map and rpsB genes in all species in the full alignment apart from Shigella flexneri. The function of this RNA is unknown. Lineage: Bacteria; Pseudomonadati; Pseudomonadota; Gammaproteobacteria; Vibrionales; Vibrionaceae. The record is from Rfam by way of RNAcentral.